Molecule: ribosomal RNA, 207 nt
Filed under: uncultured bacterium
Lineage: Bacteria
Description: partial 16S ribosomal RNA
Rfam family: Bacterial small subunit ribosomal RNA
Source: RNAcentral
UGUGUAGGCGGUUCUUUAAGUUUGCUGUGAAAUCUCCCGGCUUAACCGGGAGGGUGCGGUGAAUACUGAGGGACUAGAGUACGGGGGAGGAAAGUGGAAUUCCUGGUGUAGCGGUGAAAUGCGUAGAUAUCAGGAGGAACACCGGUGGUGUAGACGGCUUUCUGGACCGUAACUGACGCUGAAACACGAAAGCGUGGGUAGCAAACA